CUGCUGAGGCCGCUGGCAACAGCCCUGCCUAAACACCAGCUGCCAAGGUCUUGGAGGAGCUUCGGGGAUGUUUUCAAGUCUUACUAGAUUUAAAGGAUGAUCCUUGGCAAACUCCCCCCGAUGCUUCUCAGCAUUUCUAGAGCCAACAGUUGUUCCAUCUGCUGCUGAGGCUGACUUUGAAGAAUCCUUGCAAAGAGCAGCACACUAACUUUAACACCACACAAGAGAAGAAAAUGCCACAGCUUUUCAGAAGUGACCUAGAUGUUUGCCAGUAGCUUGACACACUCUCAGGGAUGGACAUACCUGAAGAGAAUCACACACACAGUAUGCUGUGGAGCAACCUGGAAGGAGGGGUGAAACAAAAUCUAUAAAGCCUUCACUCAUGCUUUUAAAACCUUCUGUCCUCCUGUUAUCAGAUUCAACAUCUCACCUCAAUGUGAUUUAUUUUGAGAAUUAAAACCAAACAUUCAAUAAAAUUUUAUAAAAGGUC
Long non-coding RNA from Haemorhous mexicanus (house finch), 490 nucleotides. RefSeq lists it as uncharacterized. The transcript has 2 exons. NCBI's taxonomy places the organism in Eukaryota, Metazoa, Chordata, Aves, Passeriformes, Fringillidae. The record is from RefSeq and is a predicted model, not a curated record.